RNAcentral lists this ribosomal RNA (291 nucleotides) under uncultured bacterium. RNAcentral describes it as "partial 16S ribosomal RNA". It matches the Rfam family "Bacterial small subunit ribosomal RNA", at positions 505 to 796 of the family's 1533-position model. The record is from RNAcentral.
GUGCCAGCCGCCGCGGUAAUACGGGGGGUGCGAGCGUUGUCCGGAUUCACUGGGCGUAAAGGGCGCGUAGGCGGCCCGAUCAGUCGGUCUUUUAAGAGCGGGGCUCACCCCCGUGGGGGGACCGGGACGGUCGGGCUGGGGCGCGGCAGAGGGAUGCGGAAUGCCGGGUGUAGUGGUGAAAUGCGUAGAUAUCCGGCGGAACACCGGUGGUGGAAGCGGCAUCCUGGGCCGAGGCCGACGCUGAGGCGCGAGAGCGUGGGGAGCGAACCGGAUUAGAUACCCGGGUAGUCC